Molecule: long non-coding RNA, 2392 nt
Filed under: Pan troglodytes (chimpanzee)
Lineage: Eukaryota; Metazoa; Chordata; Mammalia; Primates; Hominidae
Description: lincRNA
Source: RNAcentral
UUUUCGAGGUCGACCGCGUGGCUGGAAGACAUGGCCACUCCCGUCGGUGUUGAGCACGGCGAGCAGUCUCAGGCCUUUAGUGAUGAUGGUGCAGUCAGCCUCAGUUUCCAAAGCCAGAAAAGGAUCCUCUAGAAGCCACGGUGUGGCAGCUGCUCUGAACCAGGACCUGGACCCGGACCCAAAGUGCCAUGUCUUCAAUGUUAGCUCCCAGCGAUGCCAGAUGGGAUCAGCACAGCCCUGCCUCUGCUGCUAAUUGUUCCUCUAAAGUAAUCGCCAUGCGUUCUUCGGGCUUCACCUUUAAAGGAAUGAAGCAACUGAGAUUAUUCUGGAAAACCUUUUGGCGAUUGGUGAAAUUAGAGUACAACUAAGAACAUUUUCAGACCUCCACUGUGGAUGACCUGGGUAUAAUCUCACAAAUCGAUGGGACUGCAAGGAUUGUAAACUGAAAUGAACAUGAUUAUACUCUGUUGGAAGAGCCUAAGAGGAAACUGAUGCCAUGAGUUUCAGAGAGUAAUGCUUAACCCCAGUUACACAGGAUGCCGUCUUGUGUUUCCUCUUGUUUAGUUACCCACUACAGUGAUUUUGUGAUCUGCUAAUGGGUUGCCACCCACAACCAUUGCUUUAGCACUUUUCCUUCAAAUCAAUGAAGGAUUGAUAAAAGUUCUCCUGGUGUCUCCGCAGAGUGGCUUCCAGGAACAGAUCUUUGCAUAGAAUAUCAGUGGUUUCCUUUUUUGUUUCAAAUAGUGGUCAGAAAAUACCCAGUGUUGACUCACCAAGGCAAUCAGCUUCCUUUUUCCCUUUUUUUUUUUUUUUUUUUAAAUUUUAUAUUUUUGCUUUAUUUUAUUUUAUUUUGUUUAUUUUUUGAGACGGAGUUCCACUCUGUCGCCAGGCUGGAGUGAAGUGGUACAAUCUUGGCUCACUGCAACCUCCACCUCCCGGGUUCAAGCAAUUCUCCUGGCUCAGCCUCCUGAGUGCUGGGACUACAGGCACGUACCUUCUUUAGUAGAGACUGGGUUUCACCAUGUUGGCCAGGAUGGUCUCUAUCUCCUGACCUUGUGAUCUGCCUGCCUCAGCUUCCCAAAGUGCUGAGAUUACAGGCGUGAGCCAUCAGACCCAGCAUUUUUUUUUAAUUUUAAUUUUAAUUUUUUCAUUUUUUUGAGAGGUUUUUUGUUUUGUUUUGUUUUUGUUGUUGUUUUUGAGACAGUCUUGCUCUGUCACCCAGGCUGGGAGUGCAGUGGCAUGAUCUCUGCAACCUCUACCUCCCAGGUUCAAGCAAUUCUUGUGCCGCAGCCUCCCAAGUAACUGGGACUACAGGUGCACACUACCACACCUGGCUGAUUUUUUAUGUUUUAGUAGAGACAGGGUUUCAACCAUGUUGCCCAGGUUGGUCUCAAACUCCCGAGCUCAGGCAAUCCACCCGCCUUGGCCUCCCAAAGUGCUAGGAUUACAGGUGUGAGCCACCACACCCAUCUAUUUUUUCUUUCGUUUUUUAAUUUUAAAGUUGGGGGGGGUUUCAAUUUGUUACCCUGGCUGGUCUCGAACUCCUGGACUUAAGCGAUCCUCUGGCUCCAAGCCCACUACUAGUCUCAGGUUUCUUUACUAAAAGAUCACUACCUUUUUUUCUCUUAUCUGCUGCCAUGUGAGAUGUGGCUUUCACCUUCCGCCAUGAUUGUGAGGCCUUCCCAGCCACGUGGAACUGUAAGUCCAAUAAACCUCUUUUGUAAAAAAAAAAAAAAAAAAUCACUAUUUAAGAUACUAGGAUGGAUUGUGACUGUUGAGGAGUACUUACAUAUCCUACAUUUGACUACAUUCUUUCCAAACCAAGUAUUCUAUCCAAAGGAACAUACUGCUAUCAUAGAGACCAAGGAGGGACUGUUUAAGGUUGCCAAGGUGAAGCGAGCUGAGAGGCUUUGUCCUCGUGCCAGUAACUCUGAAAUCUCUCUUAAUUCCUGCUGUCCAGGCAGCAGAAUGCCAUGGUUUCCCCAAGUAGGUAGCUGCUUUAGCAAUUAAAGCCCAAAUGUCUGUUCUGUUGAUCAGAGGUCUCUGAAUUUCUGAAGUGGUGUUUCGUUUCUGGUGACUGAGUUAAUCCUUUACAAUCCCUCUUGUAAAGUGUGCUAAUAGAAAGAAUCCACCUUUCAAAGCUGCAGAACCAGACCGUUUCCUAAAUUGACCAACGUAACUGAUGUGCCUCGGGAAGUCUCUUGGCAGCUGUCCCUGUGAAGACCCCCCUCCUGCCCCCCCAGCUGCUGCCUUGCACACUGAAGCAUCUCAGACUGUGCAAAGCCAUGUAGUCAUCAAGACAGUAAAUCCCAGGGCUUGGUUAAGUGCUGUGUGAUAACUUGUUUGGAUGAGACUUAACUUAAAACCACUUACAAUAAACUUGGGAAACUAC